GCACGACGCACGAUGAAGGCCAAACUCGGGCCGAUCACCAAAACGGUCGCACGACUCAAAAAUCGGCUCAAAAUGGGCCAAAAAUCGCACAGUGUAAGCCCAGCAUUAACGGUGGCAGGUGACAAAAAAGGAAGGUAAAAAACGUCAUGAAUGUUCUUUAGAAAUGUGGCUCCUCUCCGUGAGGUUGUAAGGAAAAACAUGGAUGCUUCCUGAAGGUGCAGUCAUGCCCUGGAAGGUGCCCAGUGCUCUCUGAGCAGGUAAGAGUUUCCUGUGUCACCCUGUUCCGACAAAGACCCGGCAGAGGAGCUUGAAGGAAAGACCUUUACUCCCAAUAAUCUGGGCCUGAACACAAUCCACACAGCUGCAGGUACAUCAGCCAAAUCACGCUGCUUUAUGCUGUCAGGUAAAAACCCUGUGAUCAUGGACAGGAAACCCUAUACGAGCUACACUGGGGAGGAAGAGGUCGAUUUAAACAGCACGAGGCCUCCACCCGAAGCACAAUCAUGGAGGGUGGAGGGGGUAAUGUCAUCAUGCCUUAACGUAAGUUAAUGAAGCUCUUCCAUCACCUGACCUCUGGAGGGCGCCAUAGAUCAUGGAGAACAAAGAUGUGCAGACGUCCUGGAAAAACCAUCUCUGGACUGAGAAGGGAGCCUAAGGGUUCAUCUUUCACCAUCUUACAUCAUCUUACUCUCUGUGAAUGUGUUCAUGACCACUGAUCAAUGGUCAUGACAAUUUGCAUAUGAAUGACCAUAAACUGACCUCAUAUUGUUAGUCAGUGGUGCUAGUUUCAGUCAUUAUGCACAUGUACUGUUUAUAAGGUUGGAAAUCUGCUGUCAGCUGAGACUGAAGAAGUCACCUGGAUGAUGAUGAAACA
Long non-coding RNA from Oreochromis niloticus (Nile tilapia), 874 nucleotides. RefSeq lists it as uncharacterized. The record is from RefSeq and is a predicted model, not a curated record. Lineage: Eukaryota; Metazoa; Chordata; Actinopteri; Cichliformes; Cichlidae. The transcript has 4 exons.